AAGUAUCUCCGAGUCCCGCCACGGAUGGGGGCGAUAGGAGUAACGGCUGGUUGGCACAGCCAUCGACGUUCCUGUUUGACAAGGAAACUGGCGUGUUCGCGCCUCAAGAACAGGUCACGUCGUAAACCACAAUAUCCCAACGCGGUCGGGAAUCUUCGCCCUUCAGGGCGGAGA
RNAcentral lists this non-coding RNA (174 nucleotides) under Natrialba magadii ATCC 43099. Its description in RNAcentral is "Sense overlapping transcript RNA 0042 (sot)". It matches the Rfam family "Sense overlapping transcript RNA 0042 (sot)". From Rfam's summary of the family: It is associated with IS1341-type transposase (tnpB) genes, at the 3'-end in H. salinarum NRC-1. The tetraloop structural motif may be functional. Lineage: Archaea; Methanobacteriati; Methanobacteriota; Halobacteria; Halobacteriales; Natrialbaceae. The record is from Rfam by way of RNAcentral.